Molecule: long non-coding RNA, 615 nt
Filed under: Populus trichocarpa (black cottonwood)
Lineage: Eukaryota; Viridiplantae; Streptophyta; Magnoliopsida; Malpighiales; Salicaceae
Description: long non-coding RNA (PTRI_LNC001610)
Source: RNAcentral
UAGUUGGAUUUCUUUCCAAGCAUGGUCCUUCCAGGAGAGAAAGGCUGACAGCUUCUGCAAAUGAAGCAAGAACACAAAUAUUCUAUGUUCCUCCGCACAAGUUUUCUCAGUUUCUCGAAGAAUCUUCAUUGCUUUUUGGUGACUCGAGGUAUAUAAGGCUUAUCAUCUUUUGUUAGUACAGCACUCGAGGUAUACAAGGCUCAUCAUCGUAGUACAGCACUACUCACAUUUUCUCAAUUCUGUAUGGAUAUGCAAGUUCUUACAAGUUCUCAGGGAAACACUAAAAAAAAUGUAUUGGUUGUAUGUUGCUGGCAUUCCAGUUAGACGUGGAUUAUUCAGAUUAAGCAGAUUUCUGUGUGCUACCCUUUCAUUGUGUGGCUUCAUGCCUUUUGGAUGCAGUGGUCCAAGUAAUUGAAACAACACCCUGUUAUGAGUGCACUUCAUGAGGAUGAUGGAACUCAUCUAUAUUCUGGACUCUGACCUUCAUGGAUCAAAUUAAUUCCAUUUUUUUGUUAGAUAGAUAAAGAUAAAGGUAUCGAAAACAAUAGAUGGAAAAUGUGAGCUGAAAUGGCAGACUACAAUCUACAGGUUUAAAAGUAUAUGAAACCUGACAAU